GAUGAACGCUGGCGGCAUGCUUAAUACAUGCAAGUCGGACGGGCAGUGGUGUUUCUAGUUGCGGACGGGUGAGCAACGCGUAAGAAACUGCCCUUGGGAGGGGCACAACAGCAGGAAACGGCAGCUAAUACCCCGUAGGCUGAGGAGCGAAUGGAGGACUGAGCCUGAGGGGGGGCUCGCGUCUGAUUAACUAGUUGGUGAGUCAAUAGCUUACCAAGGCGAUGGUCAGUAGCUGUUCGGAGAGGAUGAUCAGCCACACUGCGACUGAGCCACGGAGCAGGCUCCUACCGGAAGCAGGAGUAGGGAAUACGCCGCAAUGCGGGGAAGGCUGAGAGGGCAUUGGGGCGUGGAGAUAGAAGGACUAGGGAUCGUGAACUUCUUUAGCAGGAGAACAAGCAAUGACGGUAUCUGAGGAGUAAGCAUCGGCUAACUAUGUG
This 437-nucleotide ribosomal RNA is filed under the name uncultured bacterium. Its description in RNAcentral is "partial 16S ribosomal RNA". It matches the Rfam family "Bacterial small subunit ribosomal RNA", at positions 28 to 507 of the family's 1533-position model. The record is from RNAcentral.